AUUGAACGCUGGCGGCAUGCCUUACACAUGCAAGUCGAACGGCAGCACGGGAGCAAUCCUGGUGGCGAGUGGCGAACGGGUGAGUAAUAUAUCGGAACGUGCCCGGUCGUGGGGAUAACGUAGCGAAAGCUACGCUAAUACCGCAUACGAUCUACGGAUGAAAGCGGGGGAUCGCAAGACCUCGCGCGAUUGGAGCGGCCGAUAUCAGAUUAGGUAGUUGGUGAGGUAAAGGCUCACCAAGCCGACGAUCUGUAGCUGGUCUGAGAGGACGACCAGCCACACUGGGACUGAGACACGGCCCAGACUCCUACGGGAGGCAGCAGUGGGGAAUUUUGGACAAUGGGCGCAAGCCUGAUCCAGCAAUGCCGCGUGCAGGAUGAAGGCCUUCGGUU
This 392-nucleotide ribosomal RNA is filed under the name uncultured bacterium. RNAcentral describes it as "bacterial SSU rRNA". It matches the Rfam family "Bacterial small subunit ribosomal RNA", at positions 30 to 423 of the family's 1533-position model. The record is from RNAcentral.